This 468-nucleotide ribosomal RNA is filed under the name uncultured bacterium. RNAcentral describes it as "partial 16S ribosomal RNA". It matches the Rfam family "Bacterial small subunit ribosomal RNA", at positions 28 to 507 of the family's 1533-position model. The record is from RNAcentral.
GACGAACGCUGGCGGCGUGCUUAACACAUGCAAGUCGAACGGAAAGGCCCUGCUUUUGUGGGGUGCUCGAGUGGCGAACGGGUGAGUAACACGUGAGUAACCUGCCCUUGACUUUGGGAUAACUUCAGGAAACUGGGGCUAAUACCGGAUAGGAGCUCCUGCUGCAUGGUGGGGGUUGGAAAGUUUCGGCGGUUGGGGAUGGACUCGCGGCUUAUCAGCUUGUUGGUGGGGUAGUGGCUUACCAAGGCUUUGACGGGUAGCCGGCCUGAGAGGGUGGCCGGCCACAUUGGGACUGAGAUACGGCCCAGACUCCUACGGGACGCAGCAGUGGGGAAUAUUGCACAAUGGGCGGAAGCCUGAUGCAGCAACGCCGCGUGCGGGACGACGGCCUUCGGGUUGUAAACCGCUUUCGCCUGUGACGAAGCGUGAGUGACGGUAAUGGGUAAAGAAGCACCGGCUAACUACGUG